CUUUAAAUUUAAAGAAUUUGGCGGUGGUUUAGUCUGGUUAGAGGAACCUGUGUUAUAAACGAUACUACACGCAUUAUCUUACUUAUUUUAGUAAAUCAGUUUGUAUACCGUCAUUAUUAGAUAAUUUAUGAGAAAAUAUUAUUGAAGUCAUAUUAUUGAGUAUAUUAGAUCAAGGUGCAGCUUAUGAGUAAGUAAAUAUGGGUUACAAUAAAAUUUAUUUAAUAUGAAUUAGGUAUUUAAAUAUACUUAUGAAGGAGGAUUUAAUUGUAAGAAAAAAAUAGUAAGAUUUUUUGAUAAAAGCUCUAAAUUAU
This 311-nucleotide ribosomal RNA is filed under the name Cambarus parrishi. RNAcentral describes it as "partial 12S ribosomal RNA". The record is from RNAcentral. Lineage: Eukaryota; Metazoa; Arthropoda; Malacostraca; Decapoda; Cambaridae.